Non-coding RNA from Callithrix jacchus (white-tufted-ear marmoset), 3488 nucleotides. The record is from RefSeq and is a predicted model, not a curated record. Lineage: Eukaryota; Metazoa; Chordata; Mammalia; Primates; Cebidae.
GCAAAAAAAAAUCAAUAGCCUAAUUUAAAAAUGGACAAAUGACUUGAAUAGACAUUUCUCCAAAGAAGGUAUACAAACGGUCAACAGGUGUAUAAAAAGAUGCUCUGCAUCACUAAUCAUCAAAGAAAUGGAAAUUGAAACCACAAUGAAAUACCACCUGACACCAGUGUGGACAGCCAUUAUUUAAAACAAAACAGGAGAAGAAAAAACAGAGGGCAAGAAAAGAAUAAAUGUUGGUGAGGAAAUGGAGGAACUGGAACCCUUGUACACUGAGAGCAGCUGCUAUGAAAAACAGUAUGGAGAUUCCUCAAAAAAUUAAAAAUAGAGCUACCGUAUGAUCCAGCAUUCCCAUGUCUGGGUAUUUAUGCAAAAGAACUGAAUGAAAUCAGAAUCUUGAAGAGAUAUUUGCCCUCCAUGUUUCUUGCAGCAUUACUCACAAUAGCUAAGAGGUAGAAACAACCUAAAGCUGAUGAACGGAUAUAGAAAAUGUGGUGUGUGCAUCCAAUGGAAUAUUAUUCAGCUUUACACCAGAAGGAAAUCCUGACACAUGCUACAACAUGGAAGAACUAGAGGACAUUAUACUAUAUGAAAUAGGCCAGUCACAGAAAGACAAAUACUAUAUGAUUCCAUGGAUAUGAGGUAUCUACUAAAGCAGUCAAACUCACAGAAGGAGAAAUUUGAAUGGUGACUACCAAGGGCUAGUGAGAGAGAGGAAUGAGGAGCUGCUGUUCGAUGAUUAUAGACUUUCAGUCAUGCAAGGUGAAAACUUUCUAGAGAUUUGCACAACAGAUAUGUGUAACAAUGGGCAAGUAGUUAACAAUACUGUACUGUUGAGAGGGUGUAUUUCGUGUAUGUUGCUGUUUUUUUAUCAUAAUAAAAAAAAGCAAGCAAACAAAGAACACCUAAUGCCUGGCUCCACUCUAACCAGUUAAAUCAGAAUUUCUGGGGGUUGGGUGUUGGGCAUCCCUUUGUUGUUUCUGAUGUCGUUGUUUUUCCUCUUUUAGCUGUGCACAUUAGAGAGCCACAUGCUAAGGAAAAAUCUCUGUAAAACAUUGUCUUCUUCCUGGCUAAAAUUUUUUUGUAUUUUUUUGUAGAUGAAGUUUCUCCAUGUUUCCCAGGCUGGUCUUGAACUCCUGAGCUCAAGCAAUCUGCCCACCUCAGCCUCCCAAAGUGAUGGGAUUACAGGAAUGAGUCACUAUCUUCUUUUUUAAAAUCUCCACCCCACGUUUCAUAUUUGCUCUCUAAUAAUAACCACAAUACUUAAAAAUACCUAUUUUGAUCAGUGGCACCGUUGUCUUUCGAGUUACCUGCCUGGAAAUGCGGGUGUUGUCCUAAACUCACUCCGACCGCCAGUCAUCAAUAGUGUUAAUUCUACGUCUUAAAGAUCUAUCCAUCCCUCCACCCCAACCACAUCUUUAGGAUGGAUUUUACCAUUUCUAACGUUGAAAUCUAGUUGUUGCUCCAUCUUUGAAAAAUUUCACCAAAUAGCCUAACUUUCAGAAUGAACUUUAAACAAAAGUUAAUGCGGCUCUUUUGCCAACUCUAUCCACUGAAAUAGAAGGAAGGAGGGUCAACUGAAAAGAGGUAAGCUUUACAUAGUACAUUUUAUAUCCCUAUCAUUCACCUUUCUUUCUGGGUACUAAUAAAAUUAGGGUUUGGGUUUUGAUUGGGCCUUGCUAUUCUAAACGUUGCAAUUGAUUUCUAUAUGGCUAUGCAUGUCCUGCCCAACUUUACAUGAUCUUACCCUUGCUGGCUGCUCAGCCUCAGCUUUGCACACAAGCAAUGCUCCAUUAUUUCCAACCUCCUCUCAUGUCCUCAGAUGGGCCUUCUCUCCCGGGCAUUUGAACAUUUGCACAGCUUGUUCAAACUCGCUAUCAUCUUCCUCCUUCCUGCCCUUUGCCAGCUCACUAAUUCCUCUCUAGACUUCAGGAUCAGCUUAUGUAUUACAUUGGCUUAAGGUUGGAAACAGGGAUGACACAGCAAUAGAUGAUAUAACAAAGAUGGCAGGCAGUGCCCAAUGACUUUUGAAGCUAUGCACCUUCAUUUCCAAAACUGCCUUCUUGAAGUCAUUCUGGCCAGCUUCAUGGCGUUUAAAGGACUCACUCAUCCCCUUGUCUUUUACAGGUUACCCAAAAAGAAAUGUUCUAGAGGAAAUGGCACAAAGCCAUAGAAUUUUAAUUGCAGUUUGGAAUUACAAAUAUUGCUGAGGUGAGGAGAAUGAAGCACAGUGAAGUGAAUACAGAACCAGGUGGCACUUCUCUUCCAUCACUGAUGCUCUGAAUCACAUCACUGCGGUGGGUGACAUUGCUAUCUACAGGAGAAGAGAUGAAAGAGAAAAGACAGGGUCUUGCUCUGCCACCCAGGCUGCAGUGCGAUGGUAUCAUCACAGCUUGCUGCAGGCUCGGCCUCCUGGGCUUAAGCGAUUCUCCCACCUCAGCCUCCCGAGUAGCUGAGACUACAGAGGAGACAGAGUUUCGCCAUUUUGCCCACACUGACCAAAAAACUCCUGGGCUCAAGCAAUUCUCCACCUCGGCCUCCCAAUGUGCUGAGAUUACAGGCAUGAGCCACCGCACGCAGCCAAGGUGUAUGAAUUUUCACCUAAACAGACAUGGAAAGAAGGACCGUCUAUGGAGCGGAAUCAGUCUUCAGACUCCAAACGACACGAGAGAGAGUGUGGAAUGGUAGGGAAAAGCUGGAUACACCGGUUGCAACCCUGCCUCUGUAUCUUACUUUCCAAGUGUCCUUGACCUUGAGAAUUGAGGACAAGGGCCUAUCCAAUAUUUGGCCUGAAGUAAAAGAAAAGAACAAUGUAUCUUGCUAAAAAUAGUAGUGACAAUGGUGGUCACCAACAAAGGACAACUUUGCCAAGCAGAACGAUAAACUAAUGAGCGUUACAAGCAGCAGAGGCCUGAGGGUCAUAUGAGAAAGACCGAACAGAGCAGAGAGGAUCUGAACCGAAGAACCAAUCUGCUAUGGUCUGGAUGUCUGUGUCCUCUGAAAAAUUCGUAUGUGGAAACCAAUGACCAAUGUGAUGGUAUGAAGAGUGAGGCCUCUGGGAAGUGGCUAGAUCCCUCAUGAAUGAGGUAGAUAUGAGCAUGUAGGAGUGAACAUGUACAGAAAAAGAAUCACUUACAGAAGAAUAAGUCAAAAUGUCACCCAUAUCACAAGGAAGUGGCCCUCUCUGAGCAGAGUCAGAAUAUGCCUCCAUCCCAUAUCGCAGCUGCUACUUGGUCAAUCAUCAAACCUGAAGGAAAGCCAGGGGAGGAAGUCUGCAAGGAAAGAAGGAUGAAAGAUUUGUCACAAGAAUCAUUUCUACUUCACAGAAAAAUCUUCAAGUGUGAGUGUGCUUGCAGAGGUUGUGAUGGUCGGAAGCCAGAGAGGAUGGAGAUGGAGAUGCAGAGGACACCCCAGAGACAGAAGAGCAGGAAGGCUCCAUCCUAUGCCCAGGAACAAUAAACUAUAAACUCGUGUCUCAUGGUCCACACUAA